CCUAUUCCGGGGGUUAGGCUCGCGCAGAGGAGGCUCUGUUCUGGUGUUCCAAGGCCUCCACAUGGCUUUCUGUGGAUGGGAUUUGUCAGCAGUUCUCCUUGCCUGAGAACAACCAGCUCUCUCUCUUCUCAGUCAACACUCUGUGGAAUAUCAAUGAAAGGAUGCUGCGAUCUUGGAGAAAAAGUAGAAGUGCAGAGUGAGUGCCCAGCACAGCCCUAAGCUGCUUCUCCACCUCACAGUUUUUGGUGAGUUCCUACACAAAGUUUGGAGCAGAGAAGCUGGAGUUGAUGUCAUAGGUGCCUCCUCUCUAGGAGCUUAGUCUGUCAGGGGAGAUGGGCACAUGCAGACCUUCGAUGCCCUAUGGUGAGUGCUGUAACUCAGACAUGGACAGAACACCCUGGUGGUUUCUAUGUUUACCAGAUCAUAAGAACUGCCUAGAACACAUUCCAGAACUAACAAAGGCCUAGGAAUCUAGGCUUUUAACAAGAACCAUAAGUCAGGGGUUAGCAGACUUGUUUCUGUAAAUGGUCAGAUAGUAAAUGUUUUAGAUUUUGCCAGCCAUUCAAUCUCUGUUGCAACCACUCAGUUCUGUCAUUGUAGCACAAAACAUCCAUAGACAAAAAUAUAAAUGAUUGUGGCUCAUUUACAAAGACAGAGAGCAGGUCAGAUUUGGCAACCCCGGUCCUAAGUGAGUCUCAUAAUUCGUGAGGGGCGGGCAUCUUUGUGAUUCCUGAUGGCUGGAGGCUUUCUUAACAAACAUAAGUCUUGCUAAUUAAAUCAGGCAGUGUCCUAAAUGCUUUAUGGAUACUGACUCAUUUAAUCAUUAGGACAUCAUUUCAUAUGUGGGGGAAUGAGACACAAGGACUAGUAAAUUGUGACAAUGGGAUUCUGUUUAAACCAGGCAUUUUGGCUCAUUUCAGUACUUAGGUUUUUUGUUUUGUUUCUUUUUGUUUGUUUUAUUUUUUAAACACCAGCAUUCUCCUGCCUUUGGUGGACACUGUCCCAGAGGACACACUUAUGCUGACAAGAUUGUACUAGGCAGUGGAAAGAAAAGUGUUCUGGACAGUAGUUAAGGGAACAAAGUUCUCCAUGUCAUGAAAUCAAACGGAGUGGGUAGGGUAUGAGAAGGAGCUGAGAGGGAGAUGAAGGUAGAAAGUAGAAAAGAGGGUUUAGAUGCUAAAGAGCCUUGACUGGAAGGCUAGGUCUUUGCCAUUCACCAGUGGAAAAAAAUUGGGGAGAUUGGGAUAGAGAGUGACUUCAACGAGCUGGACUCCCUCUGUAGAGUUGAGGUUCAUGCUUCUCCCCCAUGCACAUUCACUCUCUCUAAUACACAUACGCAGACACACACAUUUCUCUCAGGCAAGAAGGAACCAAAGUUUGUCUGAUGUCUCCUGAGCAGCUUCAGAACACCUUUCCCUGGAUAAACACAGAGGGAGUGGUCCUGGUGUCUUAUGGUGAGGCUCAUCUGCAAAAAGGGGGGAUAGCUUUCUCCUACAGGUAGGAACUGAGGAGCUUCUUGGGUUGGAAGUCUCAUAUGCCAUGGUUCUGCUAAAGGACAACUACUUCCUCCUGAGAAACGGCUCAUCCCAGGCCAUGCUACUUCUUCUUUCAGCCUUAUUGGACUCUGGUCCUAGAAGAAUGUUAGAGGGAGGGUCAGGAAAUAGACUAGGAAAGGAUGGACCUCAGAUCCUUUUUGGGAGCUUUUCAGGAGUUUUCUGUUCUUCAUCUUAGGGAUAGAGGACAAAGGCUGGUUUGACCCUUGUUCUCUCCUCCAGGGGCUUUGGCAAAAGUUGUUGUCUACCAGAGAGAGGUGAUACAUCAGCCCAAAGCCACAUACCUUCUGCUAAUGUCCUCUAGUUAGCAGGACAAGGCCUAGAUGGGCCCCAUCUUCUCACUCAUGGGCUAAGAAAGGUUGAUGGGGGAGAGGGCUAAUCCAUGGCAACCCAGCUCUGACUGCUUUGUGACUUAUAUAACCUGCUUGACAAUUCCAGCACUGCCCAGACCCUUGUAUGUAUGGCUAAGUUCAUCCCACUUUCCUGAUCUCUGCUUCAGUGUCAUGGAAAAGUGUUCAUCCUUCUAGCCUUUUUUUCCUUAAGAAACCAGUGGGAUUCCCAUUUCCCUCCUCAGAGCCUCAAGGGCUUUGGGUAUGGGAUACUGGGGAUUGUACCCAGGGCCUUGUGUAUGCUAAGCACGUACUCUCCCACUGAGUUACACCCCCCCAAAUCCUAAGGGCUCAUUUUUUUCUUUUCUACGGGUUUUAUCAUUUCAUCUAGUUCAUGGAGAUCUCAAGUGGAGAAGAGAUGAUCUUGAAAACAAUCUGUGAAUUCUUUUCACACGUAAGUCCCUAGUCCCAUUUCUUAUCCACUAUGGAGAGGCAAGAAAGGUGUACUGACUGUCCUGACGUUGGUCUUCUUCUCCUCCCUUUCCAGUAUGAGUAAAGUAAGAUUAGGAGGCUGUUACCUCUCUUCCUGUCAAGUGAGUGGCCCAGCCCUCCCUCCCAUCAUCCUCUGGUACCUACAGGUGAAGAUGGACAACAGCCUGGAGCACCAGCCAGUGGACUGUGCCAUAGUAAUCAAUGCCAGAAAAGCUUGGUCUGGGCAAAUUGCAGAGCUGGCUGGUAUUGGGAAGGGGCCGCCUGGUACGCUGAAGGGCACUAAGCUACCUGUGGAGCUGCAGAAAAGGUAGCUUCCCUUGGGGAAACUUGGGAAGUUGGUGAGAGAAAGAAAUGAAUAAAAGUUUGGGGUGUGUGUAUAAUUUAAUCAGAAAAGGAGAGACAUACUAAUAGUAAUGGUAACCACGAUCCAACUGGGAAGGAAGUGUGGCUACAAGAACUGCUUUUUCUGAGUUCUUCUUAUGUGUUUCAUCCUAUGCCUUAUCCUGGCUUCUUGUCCACCAGCUGCCAUCUAAACUAUUUCAACUUUCCUAAUCAAUGGUCUUAUUGCCCCAACUCUCACUUACCCAACCCACUGCUACCAGCUUUAUCUUCCUGAAUCAUUGGCAAAUGUAAGCUGAGUUUGGUGGCAUACAUCUAUAAUCCUAGCACUGGGGAGGCUGAAGCAGAAGGAUCAAGAGUUCAAGGCCAGUAUGGGCUACAUAUUAGACCCUGUCUCAAAAUCAAAACAAAAGGGCAAACAUGUUGUCCCACCGCCAGUCUUUAAAUGGAUUUUGGUUUCCUGCAAAGCUGGCAUUCUGGUUAUCAAUGUCUUCUCCAGUUUAGCUGCAAACCACCUCACCAACAUUAUCCAGCCUCUUCACUCCUCUAUGCCACCUUCAA
Castor canadensis (American beaver) is the source of this 3274-nucleotide non-coding RNA. Lineage: Eukaryota; Metazoa; Chordata; Mammalia; Rodentia; Castoridae. The record is from RefSeq and is a predicted model, not a curated record.